This 239-nucleotide ribosomal RNA is filed under the name uncultured bacterium. RNAcentral's name for it is "partial 16S ribosomal RNA". It matches the Rfam family "Bacterial small subunit ribosomal RNA", at positions 116 to 354 of the family's 1533-position model. The record is from RNAcentral.
CGUGAGCAAUCUGCCUUGGAGUGGGGAAUAACGGUUGGAAACAGCCGCUAAUACCGCAUGAUACAGCUAUCCCGCAUGGGGUUGGCUGUCAAAGAUUUAUCGCUCUGAGAUGAGCUCGCGUCUGAUUAGCUUGUUGGCGGGGUAACGGCCCACCAAGGCGACGAUCAGUAGCCGGACUGAGAGGUUGGCCGGCCACAUUGGGACUGAGACACGGCCCAGACGCCUACGGAAGGCAGCAG